This 24-nucleotide microRNA is filed under the name Glycine max (soybean). Its description in RNAcentral is "gma-miR1520e". Lineage: Eukaryota; Viridiplantae; Streptophyta; Magnoliopsida; Fabales; Fabaceae. The record is from miRBase by way of RNAcentral.
CAAUAAGAACGUGACAUAUGACAG